GGGGCGAUAGCUCAGCUGGGAGAGCACCUGCUUUGCAAGCAGGGGGUCGUCGGUUCGAUCCCGUCUGCCUCCACCA
This 76-nucleotide transfer RNA is filed under the name Burkholderia pseudomallei MSHR4300. RNAcentral describes it as "tRNA-Ala". It matches the Rfam family "tRNA". From Rfam's summary of the family: Transfer RNA (tRNA) molecules are approximately 80 nucleotides in length. Their secondary structure includes four short double-helical elements and three loops (D, anti-codon, and T loops). The record is from RNAcentral. Lineage: Bacteria; Pseudomonadati; Pseudomonadota; Betaproteobacteria; Burkholderiales; Burkholderiaceae.